Molecule: ribosomal RNA, 910 nt
Filed under: uncultured bacterium
Lineage: Bacteria
Description: bacterial SSU rRNA
Rfam family: Bacterial small subunit ribosomal RNA
Source: RNAcentral
AGAGUUUGAUCCUGGCUCAGAUUGAACGCUGGCGGCAUGCCUUACACAUGCAAGUCGAACGGCAGCGCGGGGCAACCUGGCGGCGAGUGGCGAACGGGUGAGUAAUAUAUCGGAACGUACCCUGGAGUGGGGGAUAACGUAGCGAAAGUUACGCUAAUACCGCAUACGAUCUAAGGAUGAAAGUGGGGGAUCGCAAGACCUCAUGCUCCUGGAGCGGCCGAUAUCUGAUUAGCUAGUUGGUGGGGUAAAGGCCUACCAAGGCAUCGAUCAGUAGCUGGUCUGAGAGGACGACCAGCCACACUGGAACUGAGACACGGUCCAGACUCCUACGGGAGGCAGCAGUGGGGAAUUUUGGACAAUGGGCGCAAGCCUGAUCCAGCAAUGCCGCGUGAGUGAAGAAGGCCUUCGGGUUGUAAAGCUCUUUUGUCAGGGAAGAAACGGUGAGGGCUAAUAUCCCUUGCUAAUGACGGUACCUGAAGAAUAAGCACCGGCUAACUACGUGCCAGCAGCCGCGGUAAUACGUAGGGUGCAAGCGUUAAUCGGAAUUACUGGGCGUAAAGCGUGCGCAGGCGGUUUUGUAAGUCUGUCGUGAAAUCCCCGGGCUCAACCUGGGAAUUGCGAUGGAGACUGCAAGGCUAGAAUCUGGCAGAGGGGGGUAGAAUUCCACGUGUAGCAGUGAAAUGCGUAGAGAUGUGGAGGAACACCGAUGGCGAAGGCAGCCCCCUGGGUCAAGAUUGACGCUCAUGCACGAAAGCGUGGGGAGCAAACAGGAUUAGAUACCCUGGUAGUCCACGCCCUAAACGAUGUCUACUAGUUGUCGGGUCUUAAUUGACUUGGUAACGCAGCUAACGCGUGAAGUAGACCGCCUGGGGAGUACGGUCGCAAGAUUAAAACUCAAAUGAAUUGACGG